Molecule: long non-coding RNA, 402 nt
Organism: Dermacentor silvarum
Lineage: Eukaryota; Metazoa; Arthropoda; Arachnida; Ixodida; Ixodidae
Exons: 4
Source: RefSeq, a predicted model, not a curated record
GCCGUGGCCCGCAUUUAGUGUACCUUUGCCCGUAACGCUGCACGAUUAGAUGAGUCUUGGCCUCCGUGGUGUGCUUUCGCCCGAGAAGAAUUUCGGAAGCUGUGAACAUCAUGGAAACCGUGAAAGCGAAGCGCAAGGAUAACCAAGAAUCGAUGAAGGUUGAAAAGCAGUACGUCGCAACAGAUACUGAAAAACCGGAGGCGGCAAGUUGGGCGGGCUGGAGGACCGCGUGAUUAAUGUUUUGAGCCAGACCGCCGCAGGCUACGCGUCGGUGGAUUUUUUCGCGGAUGACGCCGAGGCAAGCUCCAGUGAGGAGGAGGCCGCUGCCGCCCGCGUGCCUCUCCCGACAGCCUCACCCCAAGUGUCCGUGGGCACAAAGCCGGGGACGUGCGGCACUGCACG